AACGGAGGGUGCAAGCGUUGUUCGGAUUUACUGGGCGUAAAGGGCGCGUAGGCGGCUUCGUAAGUCGGGUGUGAAAUCCUUCCGCUUAACGGAAUAAGUGCACCCGAAACUGCCUUGCUCGAGUUUAGGAGAGGAGAGCGGAAUUCCCGGUGUAGAGGUGAAAUUCGUAGAUAUCGGGAGGAACACCCGUGGCGAAAGCGGCUCUCUGGCCUAAUACUGACGCUGAGGCGCGAAAGCGUGGGGAGCAAACACG
RNAcentral lists this ribosomal RNA (253 nucleotides) under uncultured bacterium. RNAcentral's name for it is "partial 16S ribosomal RNA". It matches the Rfam family "Bacterial small subunit ribosomal RNA", at positions 524 to 776 of the family's 1533-position model. The record is from RNAcentral.